UACGUAGGGGGCUAGCGUUGUCCGGAUUUAUUGGGCGUAAAGAGCGUGUAGGCGGCCAGGUAGGUCUGGUGUGAAAACUCGAGGCUUAACCUCGAGAUGUCAUCGGAAACCAUUUGGCUAGAGUCCGGAAGAGGAGAGUGGAAUUCCUGGUGUAGCGGUGAAAUGCGCAGAUAUCAGGAGGAACACCCGUGGCGAAAGCGGCUCUCUGGGACGGUACUGACGCUGAGACGCGAAAGCGUGGGGAGCGAACAGG
This 253-nucleotide ribosomal RNA is filed under the name uncultured bacterium. Its description in RNAcentral is "partial 16S ribosomal RNA". It matches the Rfam family "Bacterial small subunit ribosomal RNA", at positions 524 to 776 of the family's 1533-position model. The record is from RNAcentral.